Molecule: unclassified non-coding RNA, 400 nt
Filed under: uncultured fungus
Lineage: Eukaryota; Fungi
Description: sequence contains ITS1
Rfam family: 5.8S ribosomal RNA (bases 1-105)
Source: RNAcentral
GAAAUGCGAUACGUAAUGUGAAUUGCAGAAUUCAGUGAAUCAUCGAAUCUUUGAACGCAAAUUGCACUUCGGGGAAUCCCCUGGAGUAUGCUUCUUUGAGUAUCGGUUCUAUCUAUCUCCACUACACUUCGUGUGUGGUUCGAGAAGAGAUUGGGCGUUUCGCUUCCGGGCGCAUCGCCUCAAAAACACGGUUACAGCUCUUCGUGCUGCUGUGGCGUGAAAAGAUAGGUGGCCUUGUGCUACUCUUUGCUGUCUUCGGAUAGCUAUCUUUUUCUCUGCUGUCAGCAGCCGCUUGUGGUCUUUCGAUUACCGGCGAGAGUUUUUGUCUGCCGACCCGCUUUCCGUGAGCUCUUAAGCCAGCGGUUGCGAGUCAAAUUUCAUACCAAAUCUGAUCUCAAAU